AAUGGUGCCGCUGUUCCUCCCGGCGGCAGGUGAAAGGCUCGCCGAUCCGCUGCUGUCCUUGGAUCGUUGUUGCUGUUUGGGGUCCCGAUGAGGUUCGAGUUGCGUCACGCCGCCUUCUUCCUCCGUUCCGGUCCCGAUUCAGAUGUCAAAGCAGGCGGGGAGUCGAGCCUUGUUUCUUUUCCGCCUCUGCCGCCAUGGUUCUGCCGCCAUCUCCACCGUUUGUGGAAGAUCAGCGAUUCAGCGCCGUUGUUUCGUUCGUGACGCUGCUGCUGUUGUCACGCAAUUUCCGCCGAGGCAGCAGGAGAUGCCGCUGAAAUCUGUCCUCUGCUCAAGAACCGGCUCAAGCCUCACUCUCUCCCUUUUUCUAUUGAAUUAUGCUCCACUGGCGAUCUAUUGAGUAAGAAGGGAGAAGGAUUUGGUGGGGAGCAAAAGAUAAUGGAGUUGGUGGAGUGGGAUGUUUGGUGAGGUGGGGUUGGUGUUGGUGCUGAUACUUUGAGUGUGGUGGGGAAAUUGGUGGAGUGGAGAAGUGGGGAGUAAAGACGUGUACAUCAUUAGCAAAAGAUUGAAAUAAUAACUGUAUUUAAACUCUAAUUGAUUGAAGAGCUUUUGUUUUUGUAAUAUACUAAACGAUUUUCCCCAAGCUGGUAACUAGCCUGUAAUCUGUGAACUGUAAAUAAAUACUGGCUUCGAUUUUCAAUCAUCGCAUUUCU
Long non-coding RNA from Salvia miltiorrhiza (redroot sage), 710 nucleotides. RefSeq lists it as uncharacterized. The transcript has 2 exons. The record is from RefSeq and is a predicted model, not a curated record. Lineage: Eukaryota; Viridiplantae; Streptophyta; Magnoliopsida; Lamiales; Lamiaceae.